RNAcentral lists this unclassified non-coding RNA (978 nucleotides) under Hevea brasiliensis (rubber tree). The record is from RNAcentral. Lineage: Eukaryota; Viridiplantae; Streptophyta; Magnoliopsida; Malpighiales; Euphorbiaceae.
AUUCACCCCUCUUUCUCAUCAUCAUCUCCUCGUUCUUCUCCUCUCCAUCACUACUUUCGAGGCGAGUCGAACGAAGGACUUAUUUAAACGUUGCAAUGGCAGAUAUGAAUCAGCAUCCAACUGUUUUCCAGAAGGCAGCUAACCAGCUGCACUUGCGCUCUAGUCUAUCCCAAGAUGUCCAUGCUCGCUAUGGGGGCGUUCAGCCUGCUAUUUACCAGAGGCAUUUUGCUUAUGGCAACUACUCCAAUGCUGGACUGCAGAGAGGCCAAGCCACUCAGGAUCUAUCAUUGAUCACCUCAAACGCCUCACCUGUGUUUGUGCAGGCUCCUCAAGAGAAAGGAUUUGCAGCUUUUGCCACUGACUUUCUCAUGGGUGGUGUUUCUGCUGCUGUAUCAAAGACCGCUGCUGCCCCUAUUGAGCGUGUGAAACUAUUGAUCCAAAAUCAAGAUGAGAUGCUCAAGGCUGGUAGGCUCUCAGAACCAUACAAGGGAAUUGGUGAUUGUUUCGGUAGGACAAUUAAGGAAGAAGGUUUUGGGUCUUUAUGGAGAGGAAACACUGCUAAUGUUAUCCGUUAUUUCCCCACUCAGGCCCUGAACUUUGCAUUCAAGGACUACUUCAAGAGACUCUUCAACUUCAAGAAGGACCGUGAUGGCUACUGGAAGUGGUUUGCUGGAAACCUUGCAUCAGGAGGUGCUGCUGGUGCUUCCUCUUUGUUCUUUGUCUACUCCUUGGACUAUGCUCGUACCCGUCUUGCUAAUGAUGCCAAGGCUUCAAAGAAGGGAGGUGAGAGGCAGUUCAAUGGUUUGGUUGAUGUCUACAGGAAGACACUCAAAUCUGAUGGAAUUGCUGGUCUAUACCGUGGAUUCAACAUUUCAUGUGUUGGUAUCAUUGUUUACCGUGGUUUGUACUUUGGAAUGUACGACUCCUUGAAGCCUGUCCUCUUGACAGGAAACCUGCAGGAUAGUUUCUUUGCUAGCU